This 280-nucleotide ribosomal RNA is filed under the name uncultured archaeon. Its description in RNAcentral is "partial 16S rRNA". It matches the Rfam family "Archaeal small subunit ribosomal RNA", at positions 347 to 631 of the family's 1478-position model. The record is from RNAcentral.
ACUUUGCAAUGCGGGAAACCGUGACAAGGGAACUCCGAGUGCCCGUAAAAUCGGGCUGUCCAUCAGUUUAAAUAACUGGUGAAGAAAGGGCCGGGCAAGACCGGUGCCAGCCGCCGCGGUAAUACCGGCGGCUCGAGUGGUGGCCACUAUUACUGGGCUUAAAGCGUUCGUAGCUGGUUUGUUAAGUCCCUGGGGAAAUCUUCCGGCUUAACCGGAAGGCGUCUCAGGGAUACUGGCAGACUAGGGACCGGGAGAGGUGAGGGGUACUCCAGGGGUAGGA